UGCCGAGGCGCUCGGCGGUGCGGGUGAUGUUGCCGUUGCAAUCGGCGAGCACCUGCUGGAUGUGGUUCCACUCCGCCUCGGCGA
RNAcentral lists this transfer RNA (84 nucleotides) under Planctomycetes bacterium MalM25. RNAcentral describes it as "tRNA-Cys". The record is from RNAcentral. Lineage: Bacteria; Pseudomonadati; Planctomycetota.